CUGCGGAAGGAUCAUAGUAAUCGUCU
Molecule: ribosomal RNA, 26 nt
Filed under: Tulasnella calospora
Lineage: Eukaryota; Fungi; Basidiomycota; Agaricomycetes; Cantharellales; Tulasnellaceae
Also listed under: 1 other name
Description: partial 18S ribosomal RNA
Source: RNAcentral